This 304-nucleotide ribosomal RNA is filed under the name uncultured bacterium. Its description in RNAcentral is "partial 16S ribosomal RNA". It matches the Rfam family "Bacterial small subunit ribosomal RNA", at positions 509 to 807 of the family's 1533-position model. The record is from RNAcentral.
CAGCAGCCGCCACGGUAAAACGGAGGGUGCAAGCGUUAUCCGGAUUUAUUGGGUUUAAAGGGUCCGUAGGCGGAUCUGUAAGUCAGUGGUGAAAUCUCACAGCUUAACUGUGAAACUGCCAUUGAUACUGCAGGUCUUGAGUAAAUUUGAAGUGGCUGGAAUAAGUAGUGUAGCGGUGAAAUGCAUAGAUAUUACUUAGAACACCAAUUGCGAAGGCAGGUCACUAAGAUUUAACUGACGCUGAUGGACGAAAGCGUGGGGAGCGAACAGGAUUAGAUACCCCCGUAGUCCCUGUCUCUUAUAC